Molecule: ribosomal RNA, 983 nt
Filed under: Lactiplantibacillus plantarum
Lineage: Bacteria; Bacillati; Bacillota; Bacilli; Lactobacillales; Lactobacillaceae
Description: bacterial SSU rRNA
Rfam family: Bacterial small subunit ribosomal RNA
Source: RNAcentral
GGGGGAUAACACCUGGAAACAGAUGCUAAUACCGCAUAACAACUUGGACCGCAUGGUCCGAGCUUGAAAGAUGGCUUCGGCUAUCACUUUUGGAUGGUCCCGCGGCGUAUUAGCUAGAUGGUGGGGUAACGGCUCACCAUGGCAAUGAUACGUAGCCGACCUGAGAGGGUAAUCGGCCACAUUGGGACUGAGACACGGCCCAAACUCCUACGGGAGGCAGCAGUAGGGAAUCUUCCACAAUGGACGAAAGUCUGAUGGAGCAACGCCGCGUGAGUGAAGAAGGGUUUCGGCUCGUAAAACUCUGUUGUUAAAGAAGAACAUAUCUGAGAGUAACUGUUCAGGUAUUGACGGUAUUUAACCAGAAAGCCACGGCUAACUACGUGCCAGCAGCCGCGGUAAUACGUAGGUGGCAAGCGUUGUCCGGAUUUAUUGGGCGUAAAGCGAGCGCAGGCGGUUUUUUAAGUCUGAUGUGAAAGCCUUCGGCUCAACCGAAGAAGUGCAUCGGAAACUGGGAAACUUGAGUGCAGAAGAGGACAGUGGAACUCCAUGUGUAGCGGUGAAAUGCGUAGAUAUAUGGAAGAACACCAGUGGCGAAGGCGGCUGUCUGGUCUGUAACUGACGCUGAGGCUCGAAAGUAUGGGUAGCAAACAGGAUUAGAUACCCUGGUAGUCCAUACCGUAAACGAUGAAUGCUAAGUGUUGGAGGGUUUCCGCCCUUCAGUGCUGCAGCUAACGCAUUAAGCAUUCCGCCUGGGGAGUACGGCCGCAAGGCUGAAACUCAAAGGAAUUGACGGGGGCCCGCACAAGCGGUGGAGCAUGUGGUUUAAUUCGAAGCUACGCGAAGAACCUUACCAGGUCUUGACAUACUAUGCAAAUCUAAGAGAUUAGACGUUCCCUUCGGGGACAUGGAUACAGGUGGUGCAUGGUUGUCGUCAGCUCGUGUCGUGAGAUGUUGGGUUAAGUCCCGCAACGAGCGCAACCCUU